RNAcentral lists this ribosomal RNA (1234 nucleotides) under metagenome. RNAcentral's name for it is "bacterial LSU rRNA". It matches the Rfam family "Bacterial large subunit ribosomal RNA", at positions 1564 to 2808 of the family's 2925-position model. The record is from RNAcentral.
UGAAUACGAGACGCUAAGGCGUCGAAGUAGUGUAUGUCAUACUUCCAAGAAAAGCUUGCACUGUCAUAGAUAAAAAACGCCUGUACCAUAACCGACACAGGUGGGUAGGUAGAGUAUACUAAGGGGCGCGAGAUAACUCUCUCUAAGGAACUCGGCAAAAUAACUCCGUAACUUCGGGAGAAGGAGUGCCUUAUUCGUAAGGUUGCAAUAACAAGAUCCAAGCAACUGUUUAUCAAAAACACAGGUCUCCGCUAAGUCGUAAGACGAUAUAUGGGGGCUGACGCCUGCCCAGUGCCAGAAGGUUAAAGAAGUUGGUUAGCAAUUGCGAAGCUGAUAACUGAAGCCCUGGUGAACGGCGGCCGUAACAAUAACGGUCCUAAGGUAGCGAAAUUCCUUGUCGGGUAAGUUCCGACCCGCACGAAAGGCGUAAUGAUUUGGAUACUGUCUCGGAGAGGGGCUCGGUGAAAUAGACUUGUCUGUGAAGAUGCGGACUACCUGCACCAGGACAGAAAGACCCUAUGAAGCUUUACUGUAACUUGAAAUUGAAAUUGGACUUUAUUCGCGCAGUAUAGGUGGGAGGCGUUGAUUAUAAUCUUGUGGGAUUAUUGGAGCCAUCAGUGAGAUACCACUCUUGUAAUGUUAGAUUUCUAACUUUGAAUCAUUAUCUGGUCAAAGAACAGUUUCAGGCGGGCAGUUUGACUGGGGCGGUCGCCUCCUAAACGGUAACGGAGGCGUACAAAGGUUUCCUCUGAACGGUUAGAAAUCGUAUCUAGAGUGUAAAGGCAUAAGGAAGCUUGACUGUGAGACCUACAAGUCGAGCAGGGACGAAAGUCGGUCUUAGUGAUCUGACGGUACUGAGUGGAAAGGCCGUCACUCAACGGAUAAAAGUUACUCUAGGAUAACAGGCUGAUCUCCCCCAAGAGUUCACAUCGACGGGGAGGUUUGGCACCUCGAUGUCGGCUCAUCGCAUCCUGGGGCGGUAGUACGUCCCAAGGGUUGGGCUGUUCGCCCAUGAAAGCGGUACGCGAGCUGGGUUCAGAACGUCGUGAGACAGUUCGGUCCAUAUCCGGUGUAGGCGUUAGAAUAUUGAGAGGAGCCUUCUUUAGUACGAGAGGACCGAGAAGGACAUACCUCUGGUGUACCAGUUAUCGUGCCAACGGUAAACGCUGGGUAGCUAUGUAUGGAGUGGAUAACCGCUGAAAGCAUCUAAGUGGGAAGCCCACCUCAAGAUAAG